This 186-nucleotide non-coding RNA is filed under the name Phycisphaerae bacterium. Its description in RNAcentral is "6S RNA". It matches the Rfam family "6S / SsrS RNA". From Rfam's summary of the family: E. coli 6S RNA was the first non coding RNA to be sequenced, but its function was unknown until recently. It consists of 184 nucleotides that fold into an extended hairpin structure with a large single-stranded internal bulge. Lineage: Bacteria; Pseudomonadati; Planctomycetota; Phycisphaerae. The record is from RNAcentral.
UGACCCCUGCGGUGUGCGCCAAGAAGGAGUCGAUUUGAAAGAACCGAUACCCGUGCUGAGGGAAAUCAGGACUUGAAGUUCCGUGAACGCCUGGGACCCAGGACUCUCGGACUCAAGCGAAGAUUACCCACCUGACAGUAAUGGGUUCUCUUCAAAGAGCCUUCUAGCGGCAUCUGCGGAGGCAAG